This is a non-coding RNA of Micropterus dolomieu (smallmouth bass), 514 nucleotides long. NCBI's taxonomy places the organism in Eukaryota, Metazoa, Chordata, Actinopteri, Centrarchiformes, Centrarchidae. The record is from the annotation of a RefSeq genome assembly.
AACAUGACUUUGAUCUGCGUCCUCAUCUGGACUCUCCUCUGCUGCUGCUUCACAGAGUCCAGAGGCCAGGUCACAGUGACUCAGCCUGGAGCAGUGAGCUCUGCUCUGGGAGGCUCCGUCUCCAUCAGAUGUAGGACCAGUCAGAAUGUUCGUGUUUGGAGCAACAACCACCUUUUAGCCUGGUACCAACAGAGAGAUGGAGAAACUCCUAAACUCCUCAUUUACUUUGCUAGCACUCGAGAAUCAGGGAUUCCAGGUCGUUUUACAGGCAGUGGAUCAAACUCUGACUUCACUCUGACCAUCAGUGGAGUCCAGACUGAAGAUGCAGCAGUUUACUACUGUCAGAGUCUCCACUAUAUCAACAGUCAGUAUGUGUUCACACAGUGAAAAAGCGUCGUACAAAAACCUCCCUCAGUCAGACUGAACAGAAACUGAACUGACUGCUGCAGCUGGAAGCUACUGCAGAGACUGAUACACUUCACUGAGGACACACACACACACACACACACACACA